RNAcentral lists this ribosomal RNA (433 nucleotides) under uncultured bacterium. RNAcentral's name for it is "partial 16S ribosomal RNA". It matches the Rfam family "Bacterial small subunit ribosomal RNA", at positions 29 to 507 of the family's 1533-position model. The record is from RNAcentral.
AGCGAACGCUGGCGGCAGGCUUAACACAUGCAAGUCGAGCGGGCACUUCGGUGUCAGCGGCAGACGGGUGAGUAACACGUGGGAACGUACCCUUUGGUUCGGAAUAACGCUGGGAAACUAGCGCUAAUACCGGAUACGCCCUUUUGGGGAAAGGCUUGCUGCCGAAGGAUCGGCCCGCGUCUGAUUAGCUAGUUGGUGGGGUAAUGGCCUACCAAGGCGACGAUCAGUAGCUGGUCUGAGAGGAUGAACAGCCACACUGGGACUGAGACACGGCCCAGACUCCUACGGGAGGCAGCAGUGGGGAAUAUUGGACAAUGGGCGCAAGCCUGAUCCAGCCAUGCCGCGUGAGUGAUGAAGGCCUUAGGGUUGUAAAGCUCUUUUGUCCGGGACGAUAAUGACGGUACCGGAAGAAUAAGCCCCGGCUAACUUCGUG